UAGGGAAUCUUCGGCAAUGGACGGAAGUCUGACCGAGCAACGCCGCGUGAGCGAAGAAGGUUUUCGGAUCGUAAAGCUCUGUUGUAAGAGAAGAACGAGUGUGAGAGUGGAAAGUUCACACUGUGACGGUAUCUUACCAGAAAGGGACGGCUAACUACGUGCCAGCAGCCGCGGUAAUACGUAGGUCCCGAGCGUUGUCCGGAUUUAUUGGGCGUAAAGCGAGCGCAGGCGGUUAGAUAAGUCUGAAGUUAAAGGCUGUGGCUUAACCAUAGUACGCUUUGGAAACUGUUUAACUUGAGUGCAAGAGGGGAGAGUGGAAUUCCAUGUGUAGCGGUGAAAUGCGUAGAUAUAUGGAGGAACACCGGUGGCGAAAGCGGCUCUCUGGCUUGUAACUGACGCUGAGGCUCGAAAGCGUGGGGAGCAAACAGGAUUAGAUACCCUGGUAGUCCACGCCGUAAACGAUGAGUGCUAGGUGUUAGACCCUUUCCGGGGUUUAGUGCCGCAGCUAACGCAUUAAGCACUCCGCCUGGGGAGUACGACCGCAAGGUUG
This 550-nucleotide ribosomal RNA is filed under the name uncultured bacterium. RNAcentral describes it as "bacterial SSU rRNA". It matches the Rfam family "Bacterial small subunit ribosomal RNA", at positions 355 to 896 of the family's 1533-position model. The record is from RNAcentral.